Molecule: non-coding RNA, 499 nt
Organism: Arabidopsis thaliana (thale cress)
Lineage: Eukaryota; Viridiplantae; Streptophyta; Magnoliopsida; Brassicales; Brassicaceae
Source: RefSeq
CGGAAGACAAAUAAAUCGUAUAGUUUUUGUUGUUUUUCAAAAUAAAUGACAAAGUUUUUGUUGAGUUGUCAUUUGAGUCAUGUCGUUAAGUAGGUUAACAGAAUUUUUUUACGGCGUUAAUGUCUCGUUUAUCUCCUAUGUUAGAACAAAACAACGUUCUUCAUUGCAGCUCGUUUUGUCUGUUGAAACAAAUUUAAACCCUAAAUCCCUAAAUCGAUUUCAUUAUCUGCGAUUUUGAGGUCAAUGUGGGUCUCUGAUUUUGAGAUAAUGAAAUCAAUUUGGGAAAUUAGGGUUUAUAUUUGUUUCAAAAGACAAAACAACGUCGUUUCGUCUCUGCAAUAAACGACGUUGUUUUGUUCUAACAAAGUAAAUAAACAAGACAUUAACGCCGUAAAAAAAUUUUUUAACUUAUUUAAUGAUAUCUCAAAUGGCAAGUCAACAAAAACUUGUCAUUUAUUUCGAAAGUCAACAAAAACUUGUCGAUUUAUUUGUCUUCUGU